Molecule: unclassified non-coding RNA, 291 nt
Filed under: uncultured Lachnum
Lineage: Eukaryota; Fungi; Ascomycota; Leotiomycetes; Helotiales; Hyaloscyphaceae
Description: sequence contains ITS1
Rfam family: 5.8S ribosomal RNA (bases 1-105)
Source: RNAcentral
GAAAUGCGAUAAGUAAUGUGAAUUGCAGAAUUCAGUGAAUCAUCGAAUCUUUGAACGCACAUUGCGCCCCCUGGUAUUCCGGGGGGCAUGCCUGUUCGAGCGUCAUUUAUACCAAUCUAGCCUGGCUAGGUGUUGGGCUUCGCCGCCUGGCGGGCCUUAAAACUAGUGGCGGUGCUCUUAGGCUCUACGCGUAGUAAUUUUCUCGCUAUAGGGUCCUGGGAGAUGCUGGCCAGCAACCCCAAAUUUUUCUAGGUUGACCUCGGAUCAGGUAGGGAUACCCGCUGAACUUAA